Molecule: ribosomal RNA, 432 nt
Filed under: uncultured bacterium
Lineage: Bacteria
Description: partial 16S ribosomal RNA
Rfam family: Bacterial small subunit ribosomal RNA
Source: RNAcentral
ACGAACGCUGGCGGCAUGCCUAACACAUGCAAGUCGAACGAGACCUUCGGGUCUAGUGGCGCACGGGUGCGUAACGCGUGGGAACCUGCCCUUAGGUUCGGAAUAACUCCCCGAAAGGGGUGCUAAUACCGGAUAAUGUCUUCGGACCAAAGAUUUAUCGCCUUUGGAUGGGCCCGCGUUGGAUUAGCUAGUUGGUAGGGUAAAAGCCUACCAAGGCGACGAUCCAUAGCUGGUCUGAGAGGAUGAUCAGCCACACUGGGACUGAGACACGGCCCAGACUCCUACGGGAGGCAGCAGUGGGGAAUAUUGGACAAUGGGCGAAAGCCUGAUCCAGCAAUACCGCGUGAGUGAUGAAGGCCUUAGGGUUGUAAAGCCCUUUUACCCGGGAUGAUAAUGACAGUACCGGGAGAAUAAGCUCCGGCUAACUCCGUG